Suricata suricatta (meerkat) is the source of this 1320-nucleotide long non-coding RNA. RefSeq lists it as uncharacterized. Lineage: Eukaryota; Metazoa; Chordata; Mammalia; Carnivora; Herpestidae. The transcript has 3 exons. The record is from RefSeq and is a predicted model, not a curated record.
GCUGUGGCCCCCGGGAGAGCCUUCCUGUGCCUGCUGGAGGCAGACCAGUUGACUGGAGCCCGCCCAAGGAACACCAGCAGUGGACGCCAGGUCCAGGGCAGGGCUGCGGGCACAGAGCCGUGGGCUACCCUGCUCAUUGGUGGAAACAGGACAAGCUGUGCGGGACAGGUCGGCCCAGCCACCACACUGACCACUGGCACGAGAACUCCGACUCUCACACCCCACUGUGGACCCGUCAUGCAGUGCCUCAGGGCAAGAAGUCAGAUAGGAGCAAAUUGAAGUGUGGUCUCUGACAGGGACCCAGCAGAGCCCCGGGCCAAACAGCUCCGCCUCCUCAGGGCUACCCUCGAUCUGAAGAUGCGCUUCAAACAGUGUCCACCCAAAAGACUCCAGGACGGCCUUACGGGUUUGGGGUGACGGGAGCAGCCAGUCUUCACAAGAAGCCCAGGUGUGGCCUCAUCGUCAGGCUCUACCCACAGCAGAUUUGCAAGACAGACAGCUCCCGUCCCCGCCACACUAACCACCUCCCACCCAGAGGCCAGGCAGGAGUGGAGUGUGGAGAGUGCAUCGGGUGGGAGGAAUCAAAGCCCCAGGAACCUAAGCCAGAAGAGCCACACCUUCACAGCCCCCCAGACACGAUCAAGGCCCCCCACCUUGCCUGAAUACAGCUCAGCCAUCAUGCCCUGCUGGCAGUCCUGAGACUCCACGCCCCUCAGGGCACAGACCCCACAAGCCUGUGGAGUCCGUGUGACAACAAGGGCCUGGUCAAAGAUGGUCCUGGUGGCCUCGGAGUUCACAGGCUCAUGUUCCACACGUUCCUUCCACGGGCUGGGGGCUCCCGCAGGGCGGGACCACGGGCUUCCUUCCAGCCGUACACACUAGGGCCCUUCGGGGCACACGGGUCACUGAUCACCCAUCAAGAGCCAGGACGGAGAGAAAGCAAAUGCCAGGUAAGGGAGGUUUCGGAGACAGACAUGCGGCCUCACCAGUGGACCAGGGCGCCCCAGCCACAACUGGCUGGGAAAAGGAGCUAGCCAAUGAACCCCCACCUGAGCAAUGCCCGAGUCCUCGCUGACUCCCCAAAGCCCGUGCGAGAAAGCAGCAGGGUCUUGGACUCUAGCUUUUCUGGCAGGGACGGAGACUGAAACAAGGUCUCAGCCAGACGCUUCUGAGAGGGAAGAGCCUGCUUCCAGAGGGUGACAAGUGCCGCCUGGUGGGGCUGGUGCCCGGGGUCCUGCACCAGGGCCGCCAGAGAAGCGUGUCCUGAGCCUCGGGCGCCGGCCACACACCCCCCCAGCCCCCCAGGGACCACUGCUGCCA